AAAUAUUUAACUGUUAUUUACAGAAGGUGACAUUUCAAAAGGCCCGAGAACACUCUGUCAAGACAGCCCGCUUGCCAAUCCAGGAAUACAUGGUCAGACGCCAGAAUGAGAAAAACUAUCAUUCAGAGAUAUUGGCCAUCAAUCAAGUAUUUGAUAUCCUGUCCACCUACUUUGAGACUCAAAACUGGCCUGAAGCAUUGAAGAAAGGAGUUUCUUCCAGAAAAGGCUAUGUUCUUCAGAACUCAGUGGAAUGAUGGACAGCCUAAGAGUGCACCUGCAGGAGGUGAAGUUGCUGGAGGGGCCUUGACCAAAGAGGAGAGCAAAGUGGUGAUGGCACACACUUGCCUUUACUUGACAUCUCGGAUCUUCAUUAGGAUGUUAUUAAUAACAGGGACCACAUUUUAUGCUCUUUUGUAUCUCCUAUAGUGCCUAGCUCACAGGAAGUGCCCUGUUUAUCUUGACUAAGUAAAAAGUUUACAUAACAAGGAAUUAGCCCUUAAACUACAUGGCUUUGGGUGUGUUAAUUUAUUUUUCUACAUCUACUUGUAAAAAAUCUACUCUUUAGAGGUAGCUUAAAUAAUUAAAUAUUGUGAUAUCAAGAAUUUAAUUUUCACUAAA
Myotis lucifugus (little brown bat) is the source of this 618-nucleotide long non-coding RNA. RefSeq lists it as uncharacterized. NCBI's taxonomy places the organism in Eukaryota, Metazoa, Chordata, Mammalia, Chiroptera, Vespertilionidae. The record is from RefSeq and is a predicted model, not a curated record. The transcript is spliced from 2 exons.